GAUGAACGCUGGCGGCGUGCCUAAUACAUGCAAGUCGAGCGAACGGACGAGAAGCUUGCUUCUCUGAUGUUAGCGGCGGACGGGUGAGUAACACGUGGAUAACCUACCUAUAAGACUGGGAUAACUUCGGGAAACCGGAGCUAAUACCGGCUAAUAUUUUGAACCGCAUGGUUCAAAAGUGAAAGACGGUCUUGCUGUUACUUAUAGAUGGAUCCGCGCUGCAUUAGCUAGUUGGUAAGGUAACGGCUUACCAAGGCAACGAUGCAUAGCCGACCUGCGAGGGUGAUCGGCCACACUGGAACUGAAACACGGUCCAGACUCCUACGGGAGGCAGCAGUAGGGAAUCUUCCGCAAUGGGCGAAAGCCUGGCGGAGCAACGCCGCGUGAGUGAUGAAGGUCUUCGGAUCGUAAAACUCUGUUAUUAGGGAAGAACAUAUGUGUAAGUAACUGUGCACAUCUUGACGGUACCUAAUCAGAAAGCCACGGCUAACUACGUG
This 497-nucleotide ribosomal RNA is filed under the name uncultured bacterium. Its description in RNAcentral is "partial 16S ribosomal RNA". It matches the Rfam family "Bacterial small subunit ribosomal RNA", at positions 28 to 507 of the family's 1533-position model. The record is from RNAcentral.